This 430-nucleotide unclassified non-coding RNA is filed under the name Hevea brasiliensis (rubber tree). Lineage: Eukaryota; Viridiplantae; Streptophyta; Magnoliopsida; Malpighiales; Euphorbiaceae. The record is from RNAcentral.
AAGCUCUUCCAUGCGUCUGAAUUUGUCCAUAAACAUUUAAAGUUGAAACACCCUGAUCUGUCAGUGGAUCUGACUACUAAAGUGCGUGAAGAUUUGUAUUUCCAGAACUAUAUGAAUGAUGAAAAUUCUCCUGGUGGGACUCCUGUAAUGCUGCCAUCUGUGCCGAAAGAGAAGCCACUUAGGCGCCGACCUGGGCUAGAUGGCCGGCUGAAGGAUGACAGAGGGAACCGUAAAGAUCGGGAUGGACGUGCUAAUGGCGGUGAAAGGUUUGAUAUGUCUGAAAAUCCACAAUCUGGAGAUUUUCAGUCCAAUAAUGAUGGUGCCUCUGGGGGAAAUCCUGAUGAAGAAAUGUUUGAUACUUUUGGUGGACAAGGGAUUCCAGUUGCUUCUUUCCCUUCAGACAUGGCUCCUCCACCAGUAUUGAUGCCUG